Molecule: small nuclear RNA, 142 nt
Organism: Hyaena hyaena (striped hyena)
Lineage: Eukaryota; Metazoa; Chordata; Mammalia; Carnivora; Hyaenidae
Product: U4 spliceosomal RNA
Exons: 1
Source: RefSeq, a predicted model, not a curated record
AGCUUUGCGGAGUGGCAGCAUUAUAGCCAAUGAGGUUUAUCCGAGGCACAAUUAUUGCUAAUUCGAAAUUACACAGCCAGUAGGAAUCAAAGAUUAGACCCAAGGUUUAUAUGAUAUCAGUUCAUGAACACUUAACCACAAC